This is an RNA transcript of Planococcus citri (citrus mealybug), 2335 nucleotides long. It is a transcript of the gene named regucalcin-like, with no coding region annotated. The transcript has 6 exons. NCBI's taxonomy places the organism in Eukaryota, Metazoa, Arthropoda, Insecta, Hemiptera, Pseudococcidae. The record is from RefSeq and is a predicted model, not a curated record.
GAAAAAUUGGAAUAAUAUUCUCUUAUCACCUGUCCUUGAUUCUAAAAUCCUCGUUAUCAUUGUUUCUUCCGCACGUGUUGGUGUUUUCCGUGGUUUUCAAAAUUCCGCAAAUUUCAAAUUUUGAAUAAAUUUCCUAGAAUUUUUUUUUAAAUUCGAUGAUUAUUUUAAAUUUUUGUUGGUUGAUAGAUUUGUUGGAGUUUGUAAUUCGAAUUCGAUGUUCCAUUAUUUUGUUGGAGAAUUUUUUUCCUCAUUGUUGGACUUGGGGUUUUCGUUGAUAUUUUACCAAUAAAUACGCAUCGUUGGACAAUUCAUCGUUGAUUUCAAAAUGGAUCCGCCAGCUCUCAAACGAGCUUGUUCAGAUACGCUAAGCACUUCAGCCUCGAAAACGCCACGUACGUCACGUAUUAUUUCCAUGGUUGGGUCUUAUAUCACGUUAAAAAUACUAAAAGAUCGCACCGACGGCAAGAUCGUUGAACUGACCAUUGCAGAACCCGCUGAGGAACCAACGAAACCUGUAUCGAUCUCUGAUAUUGAAAAUAUCAUCGACCAAGUAUAUUUUCAAGACAACACGAUGGUAUUUGAAACGUUAUUAUCGUGUCGGCAUAUAGUUGUGAUUAUUUAUCCACCGGACACUGGUAAAACCACCAUGGCCAUACUUCUAGAGGCAUUUUUAUCGAGUACGGAUUUACCGGAUAAAGUAAACAGAUUUUUUGAAAAUUGCGAGUUCGCUACUCAGUGUCCAGAUAAAUAUGAAAAAUUUCGCAAAUCGGCUAAUGUUGCGUACAUAAACUUCGAAGCCAUUGAAGGUCGCAACAAAGAUGAUUUUCAAAAAUCUCUUAUCGAGAUAAUGUUGAAUGCUUUUAAAAAGUACUUUAACGAAAAUGUUUUCGAAAAAGCACAAGGGUUAAUGAGUACUCCUGGCAGUGUAUAUGUUUCUCUACAGAAAUUCAUCAGGGAGCUAACGAUGAAAGAUAGAACAAAGACGAAGACAUACCUUCUCCUGGAUUCUUGCGACAAGGUUUAUGAUACGAUCGCUCAACUAGGUGCCGAGUCGUGGCAAAUAUGUAAACGAUUCACACAAUUUCUAUCUACCUCAUAUUCUAAUACAUUUGCCGAUGACGUAGUGACGAUCUGCUUCGGCGUUUCGGGGUAUUUCGCCACCCAGCUCAGUGGAAUGGCUUGUUUUUAUGACAUUGACGAAGAAAAGAGUAUAGUUGGAAAAUAUUUUUCUUAUUCUACGAAUACAAUCAACAAAGUGAUUGAAAAAUACGACUUGGAUGCUACUGAUACGUUGGAGAAAUGCUUAAAAGUGGCAAAAUUCAAGUUCAAUGGAAAUUCUUUCCUGAAUCCAGCCAUCUGCGUAAGCUUCCUUCGAAGUUUAUAUCUUAAAAGAAAUCACUUCCAUGUUAAUAUUGCUCCACGUCCCUUGUGGUUGAGUUGUAUAUUCACUCAGGAAGAUAAAGAUUCAUUAUCAGAAGUACUACGUGGACCGUGCGAAAAAGAAUUCUUGCUGUAUGUUCGUAUGUCGCAUAUAAUCGAGGAAAUGUAUAAUGAAAGAACUCCGGACGGAAAAUUGUUCUAUUCUAUGUUCAUUUUUGGUGGUUUUUUAUCCUGUGUAAAAUGCGCAGACGAAGGAAAAUAUCAAUUAGACGUGGCAAACGAGACUACAAGAUGUCUUCUAGAUUACUGUUUACGUGAUAUUUCGAAGUUCACUAAUUGAUGUUCGAAAAUAAAUGGUCAGAGUUUUGCGCUGCAAUAAAAUGGACGAUUAGCAGAAUUAUAACGAUCAUUUGUGUAGAGCUCUCGGUUUUGGCAUAGUAGAAGAUUUUAUGGUUGUCGUCAAAAAUAAUGAACAGAUUGCAGGAUCAGUUCUUGACCUGCUGUCAUCAAUGUUAUCAUGGACAGGCUGAUGUUCUACCGAGUUUUUCAUUGCGAAGGAAGUGAACGAUUUUGUUAAAAGAAAAGGAAGUUUCAGUUGCAGAAUAGUUAUUCUUAUAGGACCAUCGACAGUUACAAAAUUGACGUUCAUUUUGUACGAAACUGUACAAACUUUUCCUGUACACCCGGUGUAUCCUGUCCUGAUUAUUGACGUUCGUUAAAUGUGAAAAUUUGCCGAAAAAUUCAAAAUUUUGUUUGAAUUUCGUUGUGAAUUUAUCGUUGCUGUUGAUUAUGCUCGCCGAAUUAGCUCACUGCAGGCAGUAAAUGGUUUAGAAGCUAAGGUACCUACAUAUCGAUAUCUGUGUAAUUCAAAUCAACGUUUAGUUUGCUCAUUGCUGAAACAGGUAGUUCAAUUUGUCAAGGAUUUCCAACAGAAAAUCGUCUACGGAAACCAAAA